RNAcentral lists this transfer RNA (72 nucleotides) under Candidatus Roizmanbacteria bacterium RIFCSPLOWO2_12_FULL_40_12. RNAcentral describes it as "tRNA-Arg". It matches the Rfam family "tRNA". Rfam says of the family: Transfer RNA (tRNA) molecules are approximately 80 nucleotides in length. Their secondary structure includes four short double-helical elements and three loops (D, anti-codon, and T loops). Further hydrogen bonds mediate the characteristic L-shaped molecular structure. tRNAs have two regions of fundamental functional importance: the anti-codon, which is responsible for specific mRNA codon recognition, and the 3' end, to which the tRNAs corresponding amino acid is attached (by aminoacyl-tRNA synthetases). tRNAs cope with the degeneracy of the genetic code in two manners: having more than one tRNA (with a specific anti-codon) for a particular amino acid; and 'wobble' base-pairing, i.e. permitting non-standard base-pairing at the 3rd anti-codon position. Lineage: Bacteria; Candidatus Roizmaniibacteriota. The record is from RNAcentral.
GUCCCUGUAGUUUAAUGGACAGAAUAAGCCCUUCCUAAGGGUUUGGUGUAGGUUCGAUUCCUGCCAGGGACA